This 2687-nucleotide long non-coding RNA is filed under the name Lactuca sativa (garden lettuce). RNAcentral describes it as "long non-coding RNA (LSAT_LNC007342)". The record is from RNAcentral. Lineage: Eukaryota; Viridiplantae; Streptophyta; Magnoliopsida; Asterales; Asteraceae.
AUGUGAACUUCCCUGAGGAGCUUGCAAUAGAUAUCAUUUUGCACUCCUUACCAUCGUGCUAUGAUCAGUUCCGCAUGACAUAUAACAUGAAUAAGGAAGAGGUAACACUCAGCAAACUUCAGGGUACGAAGGCUAGGACCCUUGAUGGCUCUUCUUCAAGUGGAACCAAGAAAGGUUUCAUCACUCCUUCUNACUCACCCCAUUCUAACUCUUGGGUCCUUGAUAAUGGUUGUGGUAUUCAUAUAUGUUCUGAUUUGUGGGGACUAAGAAGAAGUGAGAAUGUGGAGAAAGGAAGAAUAAACUUAAUCAUGGGGAAUAGGAAAGCUUUACCUGUCACCAAGGUUGGAGUUUAUACUUUAUCGCUAGGUAGUGGAUUUAGUUUAGAUUUGAAUAAGUGUUGUUAUUCGCCAAAAAUGGCAAGAAAUAUUAUUUCCUUUCACGCAUUGUAUUAACAUUGUUUCACCUUUUCAUUUGAUAAUGAAGUUGGUUCUAUUAAUGCUUUCUUUAAUAAUAUUCUUUAUUUUAAAGCAUUACCUUGUGAUGGCGUGUAUGAAACACUAUCUGUGGUUGAUAACUUAGGAAAUAAUGUAUUGUGUAUUGAUUCUGUUAAUAAUAACUUAGAUAAAGCAUCAUUAUGGCAUUGUCGUCUUGGACAUAUAAGCAAGAAACGCAUAGGCCAACUUCAAAAGGAUGGAGUCUUCGAGUCAUUUGACCUAAAGUCAGAUGAUAGUUGCGAAUCAUGCUUACUUGGAAAAAUAACAAAGUCACCCUUCACAGGUUCUUGUGAGAGGGGUGAAGGUUUGUUGGAUCUUGUACACACGGAUGUGUGUGGGCCCUUCAAACAUGCCAUAAUGGAUGUUAAUCAUUAUUGUUUGACUUUUACUGAUGAUUACAGUAAAUAUGGAUAUGUCUACUUAAUCAAGCAUAAGUCAGAGACUUUCGAGACGUUUAAGGAAUUUAAACAGGAUGUCGAGAAUCAAUUGGGCAGGAACAUUAAGAUGCUUCGAUCCGAUCGAGGUGGUGAGUAUCUUAGUUCAGAGUUCCUUGACUAUCUUAGGGAAUGUGGUAUUGUCUCACAAUUGACACCUCCCAUGACACCGCAGUUGAAUGGUGUGGCUGAGAGGCGUAAUCGAACCUUGUUGGAUAUGGUUCGUUCCAUGAUGAGUCGAGCUUCGCUACCAAUCUCAUUCUGGGGGUAUGCCUUAGAGACUGCCGCCCAUAUCCUUAAUCUAGUCCCUACAAAGAAAGUUGCCAAAACUCCUCAUGAGAUGUGGACUGGUAAAGUACCCAAACUAGACCACAUCAAGAUUUGGGGUUGCGAGGCUUUCGUGAGACGCGAGACUCAUGAUAAGCUCGAACCCCGAAGCGAGAGGUGUAUUUUCAUCGGCUACCCACAAUAAUCCUUUGGUUACCUCUUCUACAGACCUAGUGAAAAUGUGGUCUUUGUAGCUAGGAGGGCCUUCUUUAGAGAGAGAGAGAGAGAGAGAGAGAGAGAGAGAGAGAGAGAGAGUUCAUAAGCCAAGGAAACAGUGGGAGGCAAGUUGAUCUUGAAGAAAUUCAAGAGUCAAUUCAAACCCUAGCACUCAACUUGAGGAGGAAACUCCUGUUGAGCCAAUUGACAAGUCUGUACCUCUGAGGCAUUCCACAAGGGUUAGGAAUGCACCUGAGCAUUACUAUGGAUUACAUAUUACUGCAGAAGGUGAUACACUUAUCAAUGAUGAGACACUGAGCAUUACUAUGGAUUCCAUAUUCCAUAUUUGGGUUGCAUGGCAUCAUGCAUUUGGAUAGACUAAAUGAGAGAAAUAACACUUGUGGUUUAUUAAUAUUUUAUAAGUUCUAAUAUAUUAAAAGUAUAAUUUAAUUAGUAUUGAUCAAGAAUUAAUUUGGAAUUAAUUAAGUGAUCAAAAGAUGACUAAUUAAAUAUAUUGGUUGAUUAUGUAAAUCAUCCAUAAGUUGUAUAGUUGGCUAAAAGGCUCCAUGGAUUAUCAAGUUGGGUUAAACCCAUAGGAUGCUCCAUGGGAGUUACAAACCCAUAGGUCAUGGAAAUGAAGAGUAAUGACACGUUAGGAGUUUACAUGGUGUACCUCUAGAUGUGUCACACUAUAUAAGGAACAUGUUAUCUAGUAAAAUCGGCUACACAAAGGGAAUAAGAGGGCUAGGCCAAUUUUACAAGUGUGUGCAUUCUCUCAAGAGUCAUUCCAAAGGCAUUUGGUGUUGUGUGAAGCAUAUGAGGCAUCACACUUGGGGUGCUAGGCUCUCAAGGUUUUCAAGGAAUCAAAUCAACUAUAAGGAACGUAAUUCUAGCCAUCCUUUUAGGAUAAAAAUUCCCGAUGUAUGCUAGAUAGGAUUAUGAACCGUGGAAAUCAUAUUUUGCAUGUAUUUUAGAAAAACAUAGAUCCAAGGUUUAUUACGGUUGCACAUGACAUAUCACAUGAAUAAAGAAGAAGUCACACUCAGCAAACUUGAGGGAUUCCUAAAGACCGUAGAAACAAGUUUUAAAGGUAAGUCGGUUGUUAAGUCUCCUUCUCCUACUCCAAAAUCCACCCAUGUCUUGGCAAUCGGGAAAGGUAGAGGGAAGAAGAGAAAGGGCUCUUCGAAGGGUGCCAAGGCUAGGACCCUUGAUGGCUCUUCUUCAAGUGGAACCAAGAAAGGUUUCGUCACUCCUUCUUCUGACCCAAAAGAGGUUG